Molecule: ribosomal RNA, 253 nt
Filed under: uncultured bacterium
Lineage: Bacteria
Description: partial 16S ribosomal RNA
Rfam family: Bacterial small subunit ribosomal RNA
Source: RNAcentral
UACGUAGGUGGCGAGCGUUGUCCGGAUUUACUGGGCGUAAAGAGCGCGCAGGCGGCCGUACAAGUCGCGUGUGAAAGCCCCCGGCUCAACUGGGGAGGGUCACGCGAUACUGCUCGACUCGAAGGCAGGAGAGGGAAGUGGAAUUCCCGGUGUAGUGGUGAAAUGCGUAGAUAUCGGGAGGAACACCAGUGGCGAAGGCGACUUCCUGGCCUGUUCUUGACGCUGAGGCGCGAAAGCUAGGGUAGCAAACGGG